CAUUUUAAGGCUGUAGUCUUAUACACACUUGGACUGCUUUCAAGUCGAUCCCGGCUUAUGGCGACCCUAUGCAUAGGGUUUUCACGAAACCAUCGCAAACUCAGUUCUCCAAGUGCUGAUUCUUGCAUAGCCAAAACACCACCAGCCACCUACGGAAGGGAAGUAUCAGCCUCCUGGGGGAAUCCUCAAGGACGUGGCGGCACUCGGGCCUAUUUCCUCCUUGCUGUGAGAGACAAUUGCUGUGCGGAACGUUACCAGUGUAUCUGGCGGAAGAGUCCGCUAACCUUCCUCCUGUUCUGGUGCUUUGCGCCUCAACAGCCAAUUUUCCUCAGCUUUCCCCUCCUUAAUCUUCCCCCCCCCCGGCGCAACCAAUCCCUAACACUGAAAAUACGGGG
Rhineura floridana is the source of this 395-nucleotide long non-coding RNA. RefSeq lists it as uncharacterized. Lineage: Eukaryota; Metazoa; Chordata; Lepidosauria; Squamata; Rhineuridae. The record is from RefSeq and is a predicted model, not a curated record. The transcript is spliced from 3 exons.